RNAcentral lists this ribosomal RNA (820 nucleotides) under uncultured bacterium. RNAcentral's name for it is "bacterial SSU rRNA". It matches the Rfam family "Bacterial small subunit ribosomal RNA", at positions 46 to 879 of the family's 1533-position model. The record is from RNAcentral.
GCCUAAUACAUGCAAGUCGAACGGUGCAGCAAUGCAUAGUGGCAGACGGGUGCGUAACGCGUAUGCAACCUACCCCGGAUCGGGGAACAACUUCGCGAAAGUGGAGCUAAUACCGCGUAACAUUGCGAGGAGGCAUCUCUUGGCAAUUAAACUUACGGGGAUCCGGGAUGGGCAUGCGUCUGAUUAGCUAGUUGGUGAGGUAACGGCUCACCAAGGCGACGAUCAGUAGGGGAACUGAGAGGUUGAUCCCCCACACUGGCACUGAGAUACGGGCCAGACUCCUACGGGAGGCAGCAGUAGGGAAUAUUGGGCAAUGGUCGCAAGACUGACCCAGCCACGCCGCGUGCAGGAGGAAGGCCCUCUGGGUUGUAAACUGCUUUAGCAGGGGAAGAAAAGACUCAUGCGUGAGGCAUUGACGGUACCCUGAGAAUAAGCACCGGCUAACUACGUGCCAGCAGCCGCGGUAAUACGUAGGGUGCAAGCGUUGUCCGGAUUUAUUGGGUUUAAAGGGUGCGUAGGCGGCCUAUUAAGUCAGUGUUUAAAUUUUGCAGCUUAACUGUAGGUAUGGCAUUGAUACUGAUGGGCUUGAAUAUUAAGGAGGUAGCUGGAAUUUAUGGUGUAGCGGUGAAAUGCAUAGAUACCAUAAGGAACACCGAUAGCGGAGGCAUGUUACCACUUGAUAAUUGACGCUGAGGCACGAAAGUGUGGGGAUCAAACAGGAUUAGAUACCCUGGUAGUCCACACUGUAAACGAUGAUUACUAGAUGCCGGGCAGUUGUGUUCGGUGUUCAAGCGAAAGCGAUAAGUAAUCCACCUGGGAG